AGGAUUAACGCUGGCGGCGUGCCUAACACAUGCAAGUCGAACGAGGUAGCAAUACCUAGUGGCAGACGGGUGAGUAGCGCGUGGUCAACCUACCGUUGAGUGGGGGAUAACUAGCCGAAAGGUUAGCUAAUACCGCAUACGUCUCCGAGGGGCAUCCCUUGGUGAUAAAAGGAGCAAUCCGCUCGAUGACGGGACCGCGUCCCAUUAGCUAGUUGGUGGGGUAACGGCCUACCAAGGCAUCGAUGGGUAGCUGGUUUGAGAGAGCGACCAGCCACACUGGGACUGAGAUACGGCCCAGACUCCUACGGGAGGCAGCAGUGAGGAAUUUUCCGCAAUGGGCGAAAGCCUGACGGAGCGACGCCGCGUGUGGGAAGAAGGCCUUCGGGUCGUAAACCACUGUCGAAGGGAAGAUAAUGACGGUACCCUUGGAGGAAGCCCCGGCUAACUACGCGCCAGCAGCCGC
Molecule: ribosomal RNA, 463 nt
Filed under: uncultured bacterium
Lineage: Bacteria
Description: SSU rRNA
Rfam family: Bacterial small subunit ribosomal RNA
Source: RNAcentral